AGUAGUGGCGAGCGAAAGCGGAUCAGGCCAAACCGUGUACGUGUUCAAGCCGGCAGGCGUUGCGUGCACGGGGUUGUGGGACCUUUCCGUUGGAUCUGCCGAUCCGACAGGGAGUCAGAAAGUCGCGUCAUAGUCGAAGGGCAUUGAAAGGCCCGGCACAGAGGGUGUGACCCCCGUAGACGAAAUGGCGUGGCCUCCCGAAGGGGAUCCCAAGUAGCUCCGGGCCCGAGAAACCUGGAGUGAAUCUGCACAGACCACUGUGUAAGCCUAAAUACUACCUAGUGACCGAUAGCGGACAAGUACCG
This 305-nucleotide ribosomal RNA is filed under the name Ditylum brightwellii. RNAcentral's name for it is "partial Bacterial large subunit ribosomal RNA". It matches the Rfam family "Bacterial large subunit ribosomal RNA", at positions 242 to 503 of the family's 2925-position model. The record is from RNAcentral. Lineage: Eukaryota; Bacillariophyta; Thalassiosirophyceae; Lithodesmiales; Lithodesmiaceae.